UACGGGGGGAGCAAGCGUUGUUCGGAUUUACUGGGCGUAAAGGGCGCGUAGGCGGUCGGUGACAAGUCACUUGUGAAAUCUCCGGGCUUAACUCGGAACGGUCAAGUGAUACUGUCGGACUAGAGUACAGAAGGGGCAACUGGAAUUCUCGGGUGUAGCGGUGAAAUGCGUAGAUAUCGGGAGGAACACCAGUGGCGAAGGCGACUACCUGGCCUGUUCUUGACGCUGAGGCGCGAAAGCUAGGGGAGCAAACGGGG
Molecule: ribosomal RNA, 257 nt
Filed under: uncultured bacterium
Lineage: Bacteria
Description: partial 16S ribosomal RNA
Rfam family: Bacterial small subunit ribosomal RNA
Source: RNAcentral